Molecule: unclassified non-coding RNA, 140 nt
Filed under: uncultured Hyaloscyphaceae
Lineage: Eukaryota; Fungi; Ascomycota; Leotiomycetes; Helotiales
Description: sequence contains ITS2
Source: RNAcentral
UGACCAAUCACGCAAAGUGGUAUUGGGGCUUGCCGUUCGGCAUCCCUUAAAAUCAGUGGCAGUGCCAUAGGCUCUCAGCGUAGUAAUUAUUCCGCUCUUGAGUCCUGGAAGCAUCCGCCAGAACCCCCAACUUUCUUUAA